CGUACACUCCUACGGGAGGCAGCAGUGGGGAAUUUUGGACAAUGGGCGAAAGCCUGAUCCAGCCAUGCCGCGUGCAGGAUGAAGGCCUUCGGGUUGUAAACUGCUUUUGUACGGAACGAAACGGCCUUUUCUAAUAAAGAGGGCUAAUGACGGUACCGUAAGAAUAAGCACCGGCUAACUACGUGCCAGCAGCCGCGGUAAUACGUAGGGUGCAAGCGUUAAUCGGAAUUACUGGGCGUAAAGCGUGCGCAGGCGGUUAUGUAAGACAGUUGUGAAAUCCCCGGGCUCAACCUGGGAACUGCAUCUGUGACUGCAUAGCUAGAGUACGGUAGAGGGGGAUGGAAUUCCGCGUGUAGCAGUGAAAUGCGUAGAUAUGCGGAGGAACACCGAUGGCGAAGGCAAUCCCCUGGACCUGUACUGACGCUCAUGCACGAAAGCGUGGGGAGCAAACAGGAUUAGAUACCCGGGUAGUCCCA
Molecule: ribosomal RNA, 476 nt
Filed under: uncultured organism
Description: partial 16S ribosomal RNA
Rfam family: Bacterial small subunit ribosomal RNA
Source: RNAcentral